GCAAAGGUAGCAUAAUCAAUAGUCUUUUAAUUGUAGGCUUGAAUGAAAGGUUGGACGGAGAGAAAGCUGUCUUAAUAAAUUGUAAUUGAAUUUGACUUUUGUGUGAAAAGGCAUAAAUAUUUUGAUGGGACGAUAAGACCCUAUAAAACUUGACAUGUUAUUAUUAUUUUUUAUAAAAGUUAAUUAAGUUAUAAAAUGAUUAAAAGUGUUAUGCUGGGGCGGCAUAGAUAUAAUUUGUAACUGUCAUUAUUAUUAAAUAUAAAUAUAUAGAUUGUGGUCCUUUAUUAAGGAGAUAAGAUUAAGUUACUUUAGGGAUAACAGCAUAAUUUUUUCUGAGAGUUCUUAUCGAAGAAAUAAGUUGUGACCUCGAUGUUGAAUUAAAAUAU
RNAcentral lists this ribosomal RNA (386 nucleotides) under Synalpheus peruvianus. RNAcentral's name for it is "partial 16S ribosomal RNA". It matches the Rfam family "Bacterial large subunit ribosomal RNA", at positions 1950 to 2545 of the family's 2925-position model. Lineage: Eukaryota; Metazoa; Arthropoda; Malacostraca; Decapoda; Alpheidae. The record is from RNAcentral.